UGGUGGAGUGAUUUGUCUGCUUAAUUGCGAUAACGAACGAGACCUUAACCUGCUAAAUAGCCAGGCUACCUUUGGCUGGUCGCCGGCUUCUUAGAGGGACUAUCGGCUCAAGCCGAUGGAAGUUUGAGGCAAUAACA
This 137-nucleotide ribosomal RNA is filed under the name uncultured eukaryote. RNAcentral's name for it is "partial 18S ribosomal RNA". It matches the Rfam family "Eukaryotic small subunit ribosomal RNA", at positions 1299 to 1458 of the family's 1831-position model. The record is from RNAcentral.